AAGUGAUUAUAUGAUUAAAUAUUUAUAUAAAUAACAAAGGGUAAAAUUGGAGUGUUAUUUUGUAUUAGUAAAAAUUUUAAUUGAAGCUAAGAAAAUUUAGUAAUAAACUAGGAUUAGAUACCCUAUUAUUCUAAAAUAAAUUGACUUAAACUGAAUUAGUAAGAGAUAAAUACUUAAAAUUUAAAAAAUUUGGCGGCAAUUUAAUCUUUUCAGAGGAACCUGUUUUGUAAUCGAUAAACCACGAAAAAUCUUACUUGUUCUUGUAUUAACAGUUUGUAUACCAUCAUUAUCAGAUAAUUCUAAAAAGAAAAAUUAUUAAAUUUAAUAUAUUUAAAAAAAUUAGAUCAUGGUGCAGUUUAUGAGCAAGAAAAAAUGGGUUACAAUAAAUUACUUUAUUGCGAAUUGAUAAAAUAAUAUUAUUAUGAAGAAGGAUUUGAUUGUAUUUUUAGUUUAAUAAGCUAAGUAGAUAUAAGUUCUAAAUUGUGUACAUAUCGCCCGUCGCUUCCAUUUAUAAGU
Molecule: ribosomal RNA, 516 nt
Filed under: unidentified
Description: Pseudograpsus crassus partial 12S ribosomal RNA
Source: RNAcentral